GACGAACGCUGGCGGCGUGCUUAACACAUGCAAGUCGAACGGAAAGGCCCUGCUUUUGUGGGGUGCUCGAGUGGCGAACGGGUGAGUAACACGUGAGUUACCUGCCCUUGACUUUGAUAUAACUUCAGGAAACUGGGGCUAAUACCGGAUAGGAGCUCCUGCUGCUUGGUGGGGGUGGGUAAGUUUCGGUGGUUGGGGAUGGAAUCGCGGCCUAUCAGCUUGUUGGUGGGGUAGUGGCUUACCAAGGCUUUGACGCGUAGCCGGCCUGAGAGGGUGAGCGGCCACAUUGGGACUGAGAUACGGCCCAGACUCCUACGGGAGGCAGAAGUGGAGAAUAUUGCACUAUGGGCGGAAGCCUGAUGUAGCAACGCCGCGUGCGGGAUGACGGCCUUCGGGUUGUAAACCGCAUUCGCCUGUGACGAAGCGUGAGUGACGGUAAUGGGUAAAGAAGCACCGGCUAACUACGUG
Molecule: ribosomal RNA, 468 nt
Filed under: uncultured bacterium
Lineage: Bacteria
Description: partial 16S ribosomal RNA
Rfam family: Bacterial small subunit ribosomal RNA
Source: RNAcentral